This 1447-nucleotide unclassified non-coding RNA is filed under the name Amphibalanus amphitrite. RNAcentral describes it as "longitudinals lacking protein, isoforms A/B/D/L-like, transcript variant X26". The record is from RNAcentral. Lineage: Eukaryota; Metazoa; Arthropoda; Thecostraca; Balanomorpha; Balanidae.
GACCGUCUCGUUGGUGUAUGUGUGGCGUGUGCUGUGGGGAAUGUAAAUAAAAAUUGUUAUUAGAUUGGUAUUAUGCAUCACAAUCGCAUAGAUACUAUGGCUGCCUCACAAAAAUUUUGCCUGAAGUGGAACAACUUCCAGAACAGUGUAACCUCAGUGUUUGACAGCCUGCGGCAAGAUGAAGAACUGGUGGACAUUACAUUGUGCUGUGAGGGGAGAAAGAUAAAGGCGCACAGGAUGAUGCUGUCAGCAUGCAGUCCUUAUUUCAGGGAUCUCUUCAAGGACAAUCCAUGCCAACACCCCCUGUUCUUCUUGAAGGACACUUCAUAUGUAGACAUUGCAGCUGUGAUAGAGUUUGUGUACAAAGGAGAAGUGAAUGUGCUCCAAAGUCAGUUGGCAAGUUUCCUGAAGACAGCAGAGCUGCUCCAGGUCAAAGGACUCUCAGGGGAUGAAGAGGAAGACCAGGCACCCAGGUCUCAGCCGCCGGACCGGUCCCGCUUACCGUCCGGCCCGCCGCCGCCGCCGCCGCCGGUGCGCCAGCGGCCCCGCGAGUCGGCCGAGCCGCCCGCCUCGCCGCGGCUCAAGCGGCGCCGGCUCUCUGGCUCCUCGGGCAGCCGGCCGGGCUCUCCGUCAGCGGUGAGCGCCGCCCCGCCGCCGCCAGCAGCCGCCGCGGGGCCGCGCGACCCGGCCGCGGACGUGAUGGCCGGACCGCCGUGCGCCGCCCUACCGCCACCACCGCCGCCCGUGUCGGGCGCGGCUUUGGCGGAGCCGCCCCCGCCGCAGCACGAACCUCCGCCGCCGCCCCAGCCGGCGGCCGGCCGACAGGACUAUGGCAUCAAAGUGGAGAAAAUAGACAUUGCGGACGAUGACGAUGACGUUAGUUUAGAGGCCACACUGGGCCAGGUGUCGACGUUUGAGGCGUCCCAGUUCGAUGGGUCAGACCACUCGGCGAGCUCCCACGAUAUGAGCGGGCUUCUCUCCGGACUUUCCGACAGAGUCGGCGACGUGUUAGCUCCAUCGGCGUCGGCAGAGGACGGCUCAGCACAAGGUCACGUCAUUGCCGGGCUGCAGUGCUCAGUCUGCCACAAGACUUUCAAGAGUCAGAACUCUCUGAGGAACCAUCGAGCUCUGCACGAGGGUCGCACAGUGUGCAACGUCUGUGGGAAGGUGUUCAGCACCCUCUCCAAUCUAUCGGAACAUCGGCGCGUGUUCCACAGAAGCUGGAGAUCCGGCGAGGAGCCGCCGCUUCCGUAAUCCACAGAUGAACUGCCAACCGCAAAACUUUGUGUCGGAGGCCUGGAGUUCCGCGUGGUGACGCCAUUGCCGGGCUGCGCUGCUCAGUCUGCCACAAGAUCUUCAAGAACCGCGACUCUUUGAGGAAGCACCGGGCGCUGCACGAGGGCCGAACCGUUUGUGGUAUUUGUGGCAAGGCGUACAGCACGCUUUC